This 584-nucleotide unclassified non-coding RNA is filed under the name Hevea brasiliensis (rubber tree). The record is from RNAcentral. Lineage: Eukaryota; Viridiplantae; Streptophyta; Magnoliopsida; Malpighiales; Euphorbiaceae.
GUCAUGCACCACUGAUGCGGUGAUGCUACCGACUAUCACUUCCCAUCCACCGCUGUAAAUGGUGAAGUGAGGCAUCAUAUUUCUCAGUCAAUCAACGAUACCCACCUUUUGCUUCUAUGAGGAUUACCAUCGGUUUUCUAACUGUGCAUUACAGCCCGCAUGACAUAAAAGUGAGGUUACUGCAUUAAGCAAGUCGCUUGCUGCAAGUUCGAUCGACAAAGUACUCAAAGGAAAGACUAUGAAGAAUCUACCAAAUAUUUUGGAGGGUACUAUCUUCAACCAGUCUUUUCAUUCUGACGUAACAAGUAAUGAAUCACAUGAAGUCUAAGUCCAUCUUAGUGUUCACUUUCUUCCACAUUAGAGAAAAGAUUUGAGCCUUCUACUUGAAUACGUAUGCUAUAACACUACUAGACAACACUCUUGUACAAAGAAGUAACGUAGACCAAAAGUCGUCUUUUACUAUUGGAAUAAGAUCAUGAAUGUCAAAUACUACAUAUGCAGAAGAUGGUCCAGAGUGUGCGUAGAGGUAGUUGUGCUUUUUCCUGAUUAUUAUUGUUGAUGUCAUUUGAAGGUCUGAGAAUUCG